Molecule: small RNA, 69 nt
Filed under: Enterococcus raffinosus
Lineage: Bacteria; Bacillati; Bacillota; Bacilli; Lactobacillales; Enterococcaceae
Source: RNAcentral
ACAGCUACAACCGCACAGAACAAGUUAAUAAGUACUUCGGUCACUUGGGAUGGCGAGUCUAAGUAUAUU